Long non-coding RNA from Numida meleagris (helmeted guineafowl), 3026 nucleotides. RefSeq lists it as uncharacterized. NCBI's taxonomy places the organism in Eukaryota, Metazoa, Chordata, Aves, Galliformes, Numididae. The transcript has 5 exons. The record is from RefSeq and is a predicted model, not a curated record.
GUGAGAUGGGAAGAUGUGAGUUUCAAGUUCUACAAGGCAGAACUUUCAGUGAAAUUGAUGAAGACGUGGAGAUUCAGCUUUAAGAAAUAAGAAGUGACAUCAUUUACUGAACACGGCAAUAGUUCUACUGGAUGUGACAGCUGACUGCCUCCGGGAACAGCCGAGAGCAGACUCUGGAGGCCCAAGGCAAGGACAGCAGCAAAUUCUGGUAUUUUCCCAACACGUUCUCCCAGCUCUCAGUAAUCAGAAGACCUGGGACUUUCUGAGCUUUCCCAGCCUGCCUGUGUGUCGCCUUUCAAGUGAUUUCCCUUGCUGCUUUCGAUAACACGACUUUAUCCCUGCCGGAGAGGCUGUUAAGCACUGAUGGGGAGAGGUAAAGGCCUGCACCAGCCUUCGCCCGGCGCUGGGCCCCAGCCAUUGGAGUGGGGUCAUAAAAGCAGAAAAAUGAGCAUGCGUUGUGCUUGGGCUGCAGUCAUUCUGCCUAAAUUGGGGAACAUUCUGCAAAUAUUUCAAGUCAAGUACUACUGGUGCUGUAGUUGCUGCCUCACAGUUGCUGGGCUGUAGCGGCCAUAGGUCUGUCUCGGUGCCUCCAGCUGGGCAGCCUCCCGUUUGGACACACAAAACUACCAAAAGACUGAAAAUUGGCCCUGUGAAUUUGCUCACGGACACUUACAGGAGUGGGAGCUCUGCUUCUCUGCCUCCUGGCUGCAAACGCAUUGUAAGCAAAUGUGAAUCUUCUCGCAAUGCAACCAUCUCCUGAGCAAGUACGCAGCAGAUGUGCCACAACCUACAAGGGCAUGGAUGGAUGGAUGGGCAGUGGCUGUACUGCCAGCCUUCUUCCAGAACAUUUUGUUUUUCUCUUGGUUCCCACAUGGCACUAUGACAGUCACAACUUCCAGACAAGACCACAGGCAAUUCUUGCUCUCCUAAGGACUCAUCUCAUGCAGGUAUUCAGGACUUCACUGGUAAUCACUCUUAAUCACUCUGACUGAACCUGUAGAGACAUACAGAGAGACAUACACACGGUGUCCAUCAGCAGACAAUAAAGGAUUUUAUGUUUCUCCCUACCACAGAAUUCUCCAUGUGGAAGGGUCAUUUCUCUGGCUGGGAACAGGAGCCUCUGGCCAUUGUCUUCAUCAGGCCCACAGCUGGGAAGAAGAAUUUUCUCCAUAUCACUUGCUAGGACCAGCUGCUUGGGAAAUAAGAUUAUAGAUCAUGUGGAGCACAGUGGCAUCACUCCUGGAGAGCUCUCUCCCACAUCAGAAACCUAAAAAUCCCAUCUCGACUGCUCUGAAUCAGUAGAGACAAAGAGGUGUAUAUUUCAAACAAAAGCUCCAAAGCAAAUCUAUGCAAAUCUCUAUAGUCUACUACUACUUGAAUGGUAACCAAAAGGAAAUAGGCUGCCAAAAUGCAGCAGGGCUCAGGGAGGGUUUGUACAAAGCUGUAUUACAGACUCACCUGCAUGGCAAGUGUGUUGCACUGCCUAUUGUACUGCUCUCCUACGUUCCCAUGUUUCAUUAUAGAUUUGCCAUUUCUCAACAUGUAAAAAUGGGAUGUGCUGGUGUGGUUUAAAUGGUGCUAAGAGCACUGCAGAGAGGCACAGUGAUAGGUGUGUGGGAAACAAGAGAAGAGAGGAAUUCUCCUGAGCAAAGAGCAAUAUCAAGCAAAUGCUGAACUGACAACCUCUGCUGCUGAGACUGAAAUGCUCUGGCAAAAAACCACAUAUAUCCAUACAGCAGUGAACAGCCCCUCAGCGGAGAGCGUAUCGGGUAUGUAUUCAGCACGUAAAGCAUCAGCUGUAUGAAAUACUGCAGACAGGAUAAUCCUGCUGUUUUAUCUAACUGAGGAAAUUUAGGUUUGGAUUUGAAGGGCAAUUUUCCAGGGCUUUCCAACUUGUAAAUUCAAAGGCAAAUGGGUGUAUGCUGAUGCUGGUCUCACACCUCCCUUGGGUCAAGGAUGAUUCAAGACAACUGAGAGGGAAGUCUCCAGGGCUGGGUUUCUGAAUAUGCUGUUUUCUCUCCACUGCAGCAUGGUGCAAUGUUCAGUGCUACCCAAGACACCAACAUUUCAGCACUGUUAUGCCCUGUGCCUCUUGUGCUCCUGGCGGGCUUCCAUUUGGUCUUGGCGCUGGUUGGAUGGCCCUCAUGGUGAUGGUUUUGGGAAAAUGGGAAUAUAAUCUCUUUGUCAGUGCCCUGGUGGAAUAAAGAUCAUGUGUAGCCUGAAGAAAAGAAAGUAAGGAAAAAAUGGGUUAGAGGUGACAUUGGAGACUUGUUUGCCAGGAUUUAAUACAUAUUGGAUAAUUGGCAGCUGGCUUUCCAUUGCCACAUUUUCCAUCUCCAAUCUUUUUCUUUCCUUAGGCAACAUUUACUUCUGCUUUUUAAACAAAACACUCUCAGAGCCAGAAAAUCACAGUGCAGACUGACUGACUGCUUUCAGACAGCUCUCCAAACCUCCUAAACGCACUAAACCACCCCUUUGAGUAGCUCUUGGUGAUUUCAAUAGGAAUAAGGACGCUGCUCUACCAGGAAGCAUUAGUGAAAACAUGAUCAUUCAUAAGAGCUGCUCGGUAUUUCUGGGCUGAAAUUAUCCACAACAGUAUUUUUGUAAUUCUGUUUUUAAUCUCUCAUAGUGGGAGGAGGAGAUGUAGUUCCAGCUCACCAUCUAACAUGGUAAUAUAUUUUUCCAAUGUUGAGAAACAGUUAAUGAAACACAGGAGACCAAGGCCAGCACUGGAUCUCGGCAUCACAGAGGCACGUUACUGGUGUGGGGCUGGGACAUGGUCAAACCAUGGCUGGCUGUAUAGACCCAGAGCCUGUUUUUAACGCUGCCAGACUCCUCAGCAGCAGCACAUGUUGGAUUUAUCAGCCCUUAUGAGAUAUGGCACCGCAGAAAUUGGCCUGAGACUGCCGGGCUAUUUACUACCGCUAUACCAGAAUAAUUCAUAUGCUUAUUCCCUGUUCUGAAUGCGUCCAAAACUGAACCUCCCAGGUGAAGUUGCACUGAUUUAAAUCCAGCCAUAAAUCUGU